GCCGUAAACCCAAGGUUUCCAGGGGAAGGUUCGUCCGCCCUGGGUUAGUCGGGACCUAAGCUGAGGCCGAAAGGCGUAGGUGAUGGACAACAGGUUGAUAUUCCUGUACUACCGAUAACCGUUUGAGGGAAGGGAUGACACAGUAGGAUAAGCUAAGCACACUGUUGGUUAUGUGUGCCCAAGCAUUGAGGCAGUCAAAGUAGGCAAAUCCGCUUUGAUAAUGCUGGGAUGUGAUGGGGAGCGAAAUUUAGUAGCGAAGUAGCUGAUUUCACACUGUCAAGAAAAGUCUCUAUCGAGGUUAAAGGUACCCGUACCGCAAACCGACACAGGUG
This 332-nucleotide ribosomal RNA is filed under the name Clostridioides difficile. RNAcentral's name for it is "bacterial LSU rRNA". It matches the Rfam family "Bacterial large subunit ribosomal RNA", at positions 1336 to 1665 of the family's 2925-position model. The record is from RNAcentral. Lineage: Bacteria; Bacillati; Bacillota; Clostridia; Peptostreptococcales; Peptostreptococcaceae.